Molecule: ribosomal RNA, 488 nt
Filed under: uncultured bacterium
Lineage: Bacteria
Description: bacterial SSU rRNA
Rfam family: Bacterial small subunit ribosomal RNA
Source: RNAcentral
AGAGUUUGAUCAUGGCUCAGAAUCAACGCUGGCGGCGUGCCUAACACAUGCAAGUCGAACGAGAAAGUGGUAGCAAUACCAUGAGUAAAGUGGCGCACGGGUGAGUAACACGUGACUAACCUACCCUGGAGUUCGGAAUAACCUCGGGAAACCGGGGCUAAUACCGAAUGACACCGAGAGGUCAAAGGAGCAAUUCGCUCUGGGAGGGGGUCGCGGCUGAUUAGCUAGUUGGCAGGGUAAUGGCCUACCAAGGCGACGAUCAGUAUCCGGCCUGAGAGGGCGCACGGACACACUGGAACUGAAACACGGUCCAGACUCCUACGGGAGGCAGCAGUGGGGAAUUUUGCACAAUGGGGGAAACCCUGAUGCAGCAACGCCGCGUGGAGGAUGAAGGUCUUUGGAUUGUAAACUCCUUUCGAUCGGGACGAUUAUGACGGUACCGGAAGAAGAAGCACCGGCUAACUCUGUGCCAGCAGCCGCGGUAAUAC